This is a long non-coding RNA of Homo sapiens (human), 1080 nucleotides long. Ensembl annotates it as long intergenic non-protein coding RNA 1890. Lineage: Eukaryota; Metazoa; Chordata; Mammalia; Primates; Hominidae. The record is from Ensembl.
AGAGGCCUAGAGGCUCUCACUAUGGCAUGGACCCUCAUCCUCGAGCCCCACUACUCAGAGGAGCUGGGAAGAAUUUCCACCCUUCCUAGUGGCAAGUCUCACUGUGAGAGCGGAGUGCCACCAGGCAAACAGGGCAGAAAGACUGCUUUAAGGAGAAUCCUUAUAUUGGGGGUUAUGAAGUGCAAUACACCCUCAUCCUCACGCUAACACUGGUACCAUGUAGCCCAAGCUUGUCUAACCUGCAGCCCGCGGGCUGUGUAUGGCCCAGGACAGCUCUGAAUGUGGCCCAACGCAAAUUUGUAAACUUUCUAAAACAUUAUGAGAUUUUUUUUUCUCAUCAGCUAUCAUCAGUGUGAGUGUAUGUUAUUUGUGACUCAAGACAAUCCUUCUUUUCCAAUGUGGCCCAGAGAAGCCAAAAGACUGGACACCCCUGAUGUGGCCCUUUCAUCCAUAGUAGCCUAUUUUGUCCUAAAGACGGUCUUGUGCAGUGAGUAGGCCAGGCCUCCCCACUACCACAGUUUACAGGCAAGGAAUGUGAUAUUUCAUAGGAUGACCCUGACUGGCACCUACAUUGCUAGCCAAAGAAUGGCACAAAGAUGUGGACAGAAGAGACAACCUUAAGCAGCUGACUGCUGGCUCCUGCAACAGUAUCAUCAUGGCAUUUGUCCUGGGGUCCCAAGGAAAGAAAACAAAUCUGUGGCUGAGGAACAGACUGAGUUGACAAAGCAGCUUCCACAGUAACACAAGGACAAAGGGUGUAUGUAGAUAUGCACGUGGUAGCAGGUUCUACUAAAGGAACCUGGACCGACCAUUCUUCAGACAAGAACCAAAGGCAACUGACGUGACUGCUCUCUCCUUGGAAGGACGGCAGGAGCCAUGGCGCUGUGAACUCAAACUUCAGGGAGCUUCAGACCCUCCUGCUUGUGACCAUACCCAUGCCUGGGCUCUUGACUAUUUAAAUGUGUUUUGAAAACAACUCUCAUUAUAGAAAUGAAAAGCCUGAAGCUUUCUCAGCAAAAAAGGUUUAACUGAUGAUACUCUACAAAGAAUAAAUACAUCAAUCUAAUUGAACCAACCAAA